UCGCCAUGCAUGUCUAAGUAUAAGCAAUUUAUACAGUGAAACUGCGAAUGGCUCAUUAAAUCAGUUAUCGUUUAUUUGAUAGUACCUUUACUACUUGGAUAACCGUGGUAAUUCUAGAGCUAAUACAGCUAAAAAUCCCGACUGUUUGGAAGGGAUGUAUUUAUUAGAUAAAAAAUCAAUGCUUUUCGGAGCUCUUUGAUGAUUCAUAAUAACUUUUCGAAUCGCAUGGCCUUGUGCUGGCGAUGGUUCAUUCAAUUUCUGCCCUAUCAACUUUCGAUGGUAGGAUAGUGGCCUACCAUGGUUUCAACGGGUAACGGGGAAUAAGGGUUCGAUUCCGGAGAGGGAGCCUGAGAAACGGCUACCACAUCCAAGGAAGGCAGCGGCGCGCAAAUUACCCAAUCCCGACACGGGGAGGUAGUGACAAUAAAUAACGAUACAGGGCCCUUUCGGGUCUUGUAAUUGGAAUGAGUACAAUGUAAAUACCUUAACGAGGAACAAUUGGAGGGCAGUCUGGUGCCAGCAGCCGCGGUAAUUCCAGCUCCAAUAGCGUAUAUUAAAGUUGUUGCAGUUAAAAAGCUCGUAGUUGAACCUUGGGCUUGGUUGGCCGGUCCGCCUUUUUGGCGAGUACUGGACCCACCGAGCCUUUCCUUCUGGCUAACCUUUCGCCCUUGUGGUGUUUGGCGAACCAGGACUUUUACUUUGAAAAAAUUAGAGUGUUCAAAGCAGGCCUUUGCUCGAAUAUAUUAGCAUGGAAUAAUAGAAAGGACGUUAUGGUUCUAUUUUGUUGGUUUCUAGGACCAUCGUAAUGAUUAAUAGGGACGGUCGGGGGCAUCAGUAUUCAGUUGUCAGAGGUGAAAUUCUUGGAUUACCUGAAGACUAACUACUGCGAAGCAUUUGCCAAGGACGUUUUCAUUAAUCAAGAACGAAAGUUAGGGGAUCGAAGAUGAUCAGAUACCGUCGUAGUCUUAACCAUAAACUAUGCCGACUAGGGAUCGGGUGUUGUUCUUUUUUUGACGACUCGGCACCUUACGAGAAAUCAAAGUCUUUGGGUUCUGGGGGGAGUAUGGUCGCAAGGCUGAAACUUAAAGGAAUUGACGGAAGGGCACCACCAGGAGUGGAGCCUGCGGCUUAAUUUGACUCAACCGGGGAAACUCACCAGGUCCAGACACAAUAAGGAUUGACAGAUUGAGAGCUCUUUCUUGAUUUUGUGGGUGGUGGUGCAUGGCCGUUCUUAGUUGGUGGAGUGAUUUGUCUGCUUAAUUGCGAUAACAACGAGACCUUAACCUACUAAAUAGUGCUGCUAGCUUUUGCUGGUAUAGUCACUUCUUAGAGGGACUAUCGAUUUCAAGUCGAUGGAAGUUUGAGGCAAUAACAGGUCUGUGAUGCCCUUAGACGUUUGGGCCGCACGCGCGCUACACUGACGGAGCCAACGAGUAUUAACCUUGGCCGAGAGGUCUGGGAAAUCUUGUGAAACUCCGUCGUGCUGGGGAUAGAGCAUUGUAAUUAUUGCUCUUCAACGAGGAAUCCUAGUAAGCGCAAGUCAUCAGCUUGCGUUGAUUACGUCCCUGCCCUUUGUACACACCGCCCGUCGCUACUACCGAUUGAAUGGCUUAGUGAGGCCUCCGGAUUGGUUUAAAGAAGGGGGCAACUCAUCUUGGAACCGAAAAGCUGGUCAAACUUGGUCAUUUAGAGGAAGUAAAAGUCGUAACAAGGUUUCCGUAGGUGAACCUGCGGAAGGAUCAUUACAGUAUUCUUUUUGCCAGCGCUUAAUUGCGCGGGAAAAAACCUUACACACAGUGUUUUUUGUUAUUACAAGAACUUUUGCUUUGGUCUGGACUAGAAAUAGUUUGGGCCAGAGGUUUACUGAACUAAACUUCAAUAUUUAUAUUGAAUUGUUAUUUAUUUAUUGUCAAUUUGUUGAUUAAAUUCAAAAAAUCUUCAAAACUUUCAACAACGGAUCUCUUGGUUCUCGCAUCGAUGAAGAACGCAGCGAAAUGCGAUAAGUAAUAUGAAUU
This 2015-nucleotide ribosomal RNA is filed under the name Debaryomyces sp. enrichment culture clone MPSR02. Its description in RNAcentral is "SSU rRNA". The stretch from base 1 to 1745 matches the Rfam family "Eukaryotic small subunit ribosomal RNA". The record is from RNAcentral. Lineage: Eukaryota; Fungi; Ascomycota; Pichiomycetes; Serinales; Debaryomycetaceae.